GAUGAACGCUGGCGGCGUGCCUAAUACAUGCAAGUCGAGCGAACAGACGAGGAGCUUGCUCCUCUGACGUUAGCGGCGGACGGGUGAGUAACACGUGGAUAACCUACCUAUAAGACUGGGAUAACUUCGGGAAACCGGAGCUAAUACCGGCUAAUAUCUUGAACCGCAUGGUUCCAUAGUGAAAGACGGUUUUGCUGUCACUUAUAGAUGGAUCCGCGCCGGAUUAGCUAGUUGGUAGGGUAACGGCUUACCAAGGCAACGAUGCGUAGCCGACCUGAGAGGGUGAUCAGCCACACUGGAACUGAGACACGGUCCAGACUCCUACGGGAGGCAGCAGUAGGGAAUCUUCCGCAAUGGGCGAAAGCCUGACGGAGCAACGCCGCGUGAGUGAUGAAGGUCUUCGGAUCGUAAAGCUCUGUUAUUAGGGAAGAACAAAUGUGUAAGUAACUAUGCACGUCUUGACGGUACCUAAUCAGAAAGCCACGGCUAACUACGUG
Molecule: ribosomal RNA, 497 nt
Filed under: uncultured bacterium
Lineage: Bacteria
Description: partial 16S ribosomal RNA
Rfam family: Bacterial small subunit ribosomal RNA
Source: RNAcentral